Molecule: ribosomal RNA, 595 nt
Filed under: Rutilus rutilus (roach minnow)
Lineage: Eukaryota; Metazoa; Chordata; Actinopteri; Cypriniformes; Leuciscidae
Description: partial 16S ribosomal RNA
Rfam family: Bacterial large subunit ribosomal RNA
Source: RNAcentral
CAUCGCCUCCUGCAACUAUAUUGAGUAUAGGAGGUCCAGCCUGCCCAGUGACUACGGGUUCAACGGCCGCGGUAUUUUGACCGUGCAAAGGUAGCGCAAUCACUUGUCUCUUGAAUAGAGACCUGUAUGAAUGGCUAGACGAGGGCUUAACUGUCUCCCCCUUCCAGUCAGUGAAAUUGAUCUAUCCGUGCAGAAGCGGGUAUAAUUAUACAAGACGAGAAGACCCUUUGGAGCUUAAGGUACAAAAUUCAACCACGUUAAACGACUCUACAUGAAGCAAGAACUUAGUGGCGAAUGAAAUUUUACCUUCGGUUGGGGCGACCACGGAGGAGAAAGAAGCCUCCGAGUGGACUGGGCUAAUCCCCAAAGCCAAGAGAUACAUCUAUAAGCCGCAGAACAUCUGACCAAGAAUGAUCCGACUGAUAAAGCCGAUCAACGAACCAAGUUACCCUAGGGAUAACAGCGCAAUCCUCUCCCAGAGUCCAUAUCGACGAGGGGGUUUACGACCUCGAUGUUGGAUCAGGACAUCCUAAUGGUGCAGCCGCUAUUAAGGGUUCGUUUGUUCAACGAUUAAAGUCCUACGUGAUCUGAGUUC